Molecule: long non-coding RNA, 150 nt
Organism: Bufo bufo (common toad)
Lineage: Eukaryota; Metazoa; Chordata; Amphibia; Anura; Bufonidae
Exons: 3
Source: RefSeq, a predicted model, not a curated record
AUUGAAACAAUAGUCUGACCAUGUCCUCCAGUACAACAGACACUCUUUGUAGCUCCUCAUUGAUCUGGCUAAUAUAUCAGAUCCCUGAACAGGUGACCCCACUCUGUUAACCCUAAUACUGUAUUUGAAAUUGGGCUUUCUAAACCAGAC